This 1892-nucleotide long non-coding RNA is filed under the name Theobroma cacao (cacao). Its description in RNAcentral is "long non-coding RNA (TCAC_LNC005463)". Lineage: Eukaryota; Viridiplantae; Streptophyta; Magnoliopsida; Malvales; Malvaceae. The record is from RNAcentral.
GCCAAACCAGCAAGAAGAGAGAGAAAACAAAAACAAAACCCUAGAGAGAGAAAAUCAAAGAAAAAGUGUGAAUUUUCAAGGAAAUUAAGUGAAAAAGGUGAGUUUUUUCUAUUAAGCUUGAGUUUUCUUAUUCCCAAGCAUUUCUCUUUAUUUUCCAUGAUUAAAUUACAUGUUUUCAUGAUGAAUUCAAUUCUGAAAAAAUGGGUUAGGAGAGAGAAAGUUGUUGGAUUUAUUUGAUUUUAAUUUAUGUUAGUGUUUUUAGUUAGUUUAGCAUAUUUAGAAACAAAACAACAAGAAAAGAAUUUAUUUUCUCCCCCAACCAUUAAUGGCUGAAUUUACCAUGUAGUGAGUGAGGAUGAGUUUGAUUUUAUUCUAGGAGAAUUGGUUAAGGAAUAAUGAAUUAUGAGCCUAGAAAAAUAAUGGGAAUUUUCGGAGCAAAAAUACGAAUUUUUACCCACUAGGGGUAUUUUCGUAAUUUGCUGUUGGGACUGAUAAUUUGCACCACACUGAGGGACAUUAAGUUAAUUUGGGUGCAAUUGAGGUAUAGAAACUGAAAAGAAUUAAAUUGGAGUUUAAACGGACCCGUUAGGAAUUUAAUCGGGUGAUAAGACGAAUUAGGCCAAUACCGGGUUUAGAUAGUUACCAGUGCAUUUUUGCAUUCCAUAUCAUGCAUUGGUAGUCUAAAUUAGUUUAAUUUUGAUUUAGUACCAACUUGGUGAAACUCUCGAUUUUGUACUGUGUCAAGGUGGUGAGUCCUCCGAUAAAGGCAAGGAAAUUGCAUCCGAGGACCAGUAGACAGAGUGCUUCGAAAGUCUGCAUUCUAGACAUUGUGAGUAAACUUACUGUCAUUUUAAUUAUCUAGGGUGGUUUUUAGAUGCUUUCAUGAAUUCUAUGGAAAAAGGAAUUUAAAAAGAUAAAUUUUCAUGUUUUAUGAAUAAAUGAGUUUCAAUGAAAUUAAAUUAUAAAUUGUUUUGAAAUUAAUAGUGAUUUUGAAAAAUAGAGUACACGGAGACUGUUAAUUGUGGCAAAUUUGAUUGUUUAAAUUGACUGGCUUAUGAUAAAUCGAACAUGAUUGGCUAGUUGGCAAUUGUAUUGAAAUGCGAAUUGUUUGGUUGCCUUGAAAAACUCGAAUUACAAAAUUGCCAUAUCAUGUUAUUGAGUUUUAUUAUAUGGUGGAUUAUAUAUUAAUUAAUCACUGUAAUAGGGGGUUUCUGUGGACCAGCCUUUUAGAGGGGCACGGUAAACCCCAUUAUAUUUUUACCUCGAAAGGAGAGGCGCGUAGGGUAUCUCCUAGGGUAAAGUUUAGGGUUCACUUCACGCUAAACCACCACGUGAGGGGGAACUCAGCCAACGUCAGGGAACGACUAUGUUUUCAAAACAAAAACAUGAUUUAUGUGAAAUGUGAAUUUUAAUAGCCUUGGCGGUCUCGGUAGGAUGCCUCGGCCAAGGUGUCCCCGAGAAUGGAUUUAUGGCACAAGCCUAGAUUUUUAUGAGAUUCAUAAGCCUUUUUACGUAUUUUGAACGAGAUGUGUUCUAAUUAUAUAACCCAGUUUAUGAUGAUUUACUUUAUUGUCUCUAUGUACUCAACUCUAGAUGUUUAUGAUGAUGUCUGUUUACUCAUUGAGAUUUUAUAAUCUCACCACCCUCCUUUCCACCCAUUUCAGGUUCAGUAUAGACUGUAGAUAGCUGAUCUCAUCGAGGACUACAAUGGGAUCUGCAUUUUCCAAACCGUAGGUUCACAGUCCUCUUUACUUUUGUUUAUUCGGGGGCUCUCUUGUUAUUGUAAAUUAAAUUAAAUAUUUUGGCUUACUGUAUUUAAGUAUGUAUAAAUUUAUUUAGCUUUUACGCUAUAAAAAUUAUUCACGUAUAACUCUAUAAAUAUUAUUUUAUAA